Molecule: transfer RNA, 68 nt
Filed under: Daphnia pulex (common water flea)
Lineage: Eukaryota; Metazoa; Arthropoda; Branchiopoda; Diplostraca; Daphniidae
Description: tRNA-Leu(CUN)
Source: RNAcentral
GUCAGUCUGACAGAUAACUGUAGUAGACUUAGGAUCUACUUAUGUAGGUGGUAGCCCUACGGCUGAUU